ACGACAAACACUUGGAAGCAAGUUUCUUCGUGUAUAUACAACGAUUUGCCUACACUAUGUGGUUCAACGUGAAUUUUACCUUCUUUCUCAUCAUCAUGGGAAUAUUAAUGACUGUAGCCGCAGGCACUAAAUCACAAUGUCGACAAGAUUGCUUGAUAGAACAUCUGAACAGUGAAAGUCGUCAUAGAUUCGAUUAUUUUAUAAAAUGUUUUAACGAUAAAUGUAGAUAAGAUUAAUUGUAUACAAUUCACUGAAUGAAAUCAAUAAACGAUAUGCGAUAUUAUAAGCAAUGAUUUGAAAGAGAACAGGUAUACAACACAGAAAAGAACCCCAGAAAACGUAAUUCUUGCAUGCCAGAUGUGUUUCUAUAUCUGUUCUAUAUAAAAGUCAUGCUUAUAUUAUCAAAUAUAUCUUCCA
Molecule: long non-coding RNA, 417 nt
Organism: Octopus bimaculoides (California two-spot octopus)
Lineage: Eukaryota; Metazoa; Mollusca; Cephalopoda; Octopoda; Octopodidae
Source: RefSeq, a predicted model, not a curated record